CUUUAUUGGAGAGUUUGAUCCUGGCUCAGGAUGAACGCUGGCGGCGUGCCUAAUACAUGCAAGUCGAGCGAAUGGAUUAAGAGCUUGCUCUUAUGAAGUUAGCGGCGGACGGGUGAGUAACACGUGGGUAACCUGCCCAUAAGACUGGGAUAACUCCGGGAAACCGGGGCUAAUACCGGAUAACAUUUUGAACCACAUGGUUCGAAAUUGAAAGGCGGCUUCGGCUGUCACUUAUGGAUGGACCCGCGUCGCAUUAGCUAGUUGGUGAGGUAACG
This 275-nucleotide ribosomal RNA is filed under the name Bacillus sp. cl25. RNAcentral describes it as "16S rRNA. Bacterial SSU". It matches the Rfam family "Bacterial small subunit ribosomal RNA", at positions 1 to 262 of the family's 1533-position model. The record is from RNAcentral. Lineage: Bacteria; Bacillati; Bacillota; Bacilli; Caryophanales; Bacillaceae.